GCGGAUGUGGCGGAAUUGGUAGACGCGCUAGAUUUAGGUUCUAGUGCCGCAAGGCGUGAAGGUUCAAGUCCUUUCAUCCGCA
This 82-nucleotide transfer RNA is filed under the name Vasconcelosia minhoensis LEGE 07310. RNAcentral describes it as "Phormidium sp. LEGE 07310 tRNA". It matches the Rfam family "tRNA". Rfam says of the family: Transfer RNA (tRNA) molecules are approximately 80 nucleotides in length. Their secondary structure includes four short double-helical elements and three loops (D, anti-codon, and T loops). RNAcentral also lists the same sequence under 4 other names. Lineage: Bacteria; Bacillati; Cyanobacteriota; Cyanophyceae; Nodosilineales; Cymatolegaceae. The record is from Rfam by way of RNAcentral.